GGGUCCCUAGCUCAGUGGUAGAGCAGCUGACUGCAGAUCAGCAGGUCUCCGAUUCGAACCCGGAGGGGCCCU
Molecule: transfer RNA, 72 nt
Filed under: Pleodorina starrii
Lineage: Eukaryota; Viridiplantae; Chlorophyta; Chlorophyceae; Chlamydomonadales; Volvocaceae
Description: tRNA-Cys
Rfam family: tRNA
About the family: Transfer RNA (tRNA) molecules are approximately 80 nucleotides in length. Their secondary structure includes four short double-helical elements and three loops (D, anti-codon, and T loops).
Source: RNAcentral